This 1065-nucleotide ribosomal RNA is filed under the name Salmonella enterica. RNAcentral describes it as "partial 23S ribosomal RNA". It matches the Rfam family "Bacterial large subunit ribosomal RNA", at positions 140 to 1242 of the family's 2925-position model. Lineage: Bacteria; Pseudomonadati; Pseudomonadota; Gammaproteobacteria; Enterobacterales; Enterobacteriaceae. The record is from RNAcentral.
UCGUCACACUAUCAUUAACUGAAUCCAUAGGUUAAUGAGGCGAACCGGGGGAACUGAAACAUCUAAGUACCCCGAGGAAAAGAAAUCAACCGAGAUUCCCCCAGUAGCGGCGAGCGAACGGGGAGGAGCCCAGAGCCUGAAUCAGCAUAUGUGUUAGUGGAAGCGUCUGGAAAGGCGCGCGAUACAGGGUGACAGCCCCGUACACAAAAGCGCAUGUGCUGUGAGCUCGAUGAGUAGGGCGGGACACGUGGUAUCCUGUCUGAAUAUGGGGGGACCAUCCUCCAAGGCUAAAUACUCCUGACUGACCGAUAGUGAACCAGUACCGUGAGGGAAAGGCGAAAAGAACCCCGGCGAGGGGAGUGAAAAAGAACCUGAAACCGUGUACGUACAAGCAGUGGGAGCACAGGUUUACCUGUGUGACUGCGUACCUUUUGUAUAAUGGGUCAGCGACUUAUAUUCUGUAGCAAGGUUAACCGAAUAGGGGAGCCGGAGGGAAACCGAGUCUUAAUUGGGCGUUAAGUUGCAGGGUAUAGACCCGAAACCCGGUGAUCUAGCCAUGGGCAGGUUGAAGGUUGGGUAACACUAACUGGAGGACCGAACCGACUAAUGUUGAAAAAUUAGCGGAUGACCUGUGGCUGGGGGUGAAAGGCCAAUCAAACCGGGAGAUAGCUGGUUCUCCCCGAAAGCUAUUUAGGUAGCGCCUCGUGAACUCAUCUCCGGGGGUAGAGCACUGUUUCGGCUAGGGGGCCAUCCCGGCUUACCAACCCGAUGCAAACUGCGAAUACCGGAGAAUGUUAUCACGGGAGACACACGGCGGGUGCUAACGUCCGUCGUGAAGAGGGAAACAACCCAGACCGCCAGCUAAGGUCCCAAAGUCAUGGUUAAGUGGGAAACGAUGUGGGAAGGCCCAGACAGCCAGGAUGUUGGCUUAGAAGCAGCCAUCAUUUAAAGAAAGCGUAAUAGCUCACUGGUCGAGUCGGCCUGCGCGGAAGAUGUAACGGGGCUAAACCAUGCACCGAAGCUGCGGCAGCGACACUCAGGUGUUGUUGGGUAGGGGAGCGUUCU